CUCACUUUGUCCUUCAAAUUUGCGGAUGAUGGUGUCCAGGGAGUGAUUUCGCUGAGCCUCCUAAUUUCGGCAGCAAGCAUGAUGCAGGAGCCAGAAGGCAGCAAAAUCUCUCCAGAUGUUAUCGCAGCGGGGAAGGGAAAUCAUCCUGGGUUUAAAGGUAUCUUGUAAAACAUUGCUGCCGGCUUGGCAGAGCCCUGGGGCCACCAGCCGGCCCUCACUGCCCUCAAAAGCAUCACCCAGACCCCCCACCCAGCCCAGCUGAGCUCAAGGUGGGACCUUCAGCCUCCCCUCGGGCUGGACUUGGUGUCCAGCCCCAUCUCCUGGGCGGACUUUGGACCCGUGUUGGAGGUAACCCGGUGUCCAACCCCAUCCCAUCUGCCGCGUGGACCUUGGACCCGUGCUGAGGGUUGGCCGGUGGCCAAUCCCACCUGCAGCACGGACCUUGGACCUGUGCUGAGGGCAACCCGCUGUCUGCCCCUGUCUUCUGCGAGGAGGGUGGGCCUGGGUUGUCUGCCUGCCUGGGAGCAGGGGGUCACAGCUCAGGGCACCCAUCACUCAUCCCUGCAGCUGCACCCUGUCCACUGCAGGACAGACCCGGCUCCUCUGUGGAUUCUCUGGUGUGUAACGAGGGCUGAGCCUGCUCUGCAGUCCCUGAGUGACAAUGUUCCGUGUGGCUCUUUUCUAUUUUUUUUCUUUUUUUUCCCCAAUCCUCUCCUCCAGAAAGCAAUUUUCAUGAAACUUGCAGGAUCUUGAUGAUCUCGGAGACCUCUUUUCCUCCACUAACGGGGCAGAAAGGAGCCGGGGAGCUCCAAAAUUACCGGCGAAGGAGCUGAGCUGGAUGGAGCACACCUGCACCAGCCUGCUUUCCCAGGCUCAAAAUACACUUGGCUCCAAACCCAGCCCUCACCGUGCCAGGUCAGAGUUGGCUGGUGGGUGAGCAGGCUGGGCCAGCUCCUGCCCUGGGCACAGGGGCAGCUCGUGACGGCUCCGUGCCUGCCGGCGCCGGAAUUUCUCUUUCCCCCGAUGCAGACAUCGACAAAUAA
Long non-coding RNA from Myiozetetes cayanensis, 1043 nucleotides. RefSeq lists it as uncharacterized. NCBI's taxonomy places the organism in Eukaryota, Metazoa, Chordata, Aves, Passeriformes, Tyrannidae. The record is from RefSeq and is a predicted model, not a curated record. The transcript is spliced from 3 exons.